UACAGGGGGGGCAAGCGUUGUUCGGAAUUACUGGGCGUAAAGGGCUUGUAGGCGGCCAACUAAGUCACACGUGAAAUCCCCAGGCUUAACCUGGGAACUGCGUGUGAUACUGGAUGGCUUGAAUUCGGGAGAGGGAUGCAGAAUUCCAGGUGUAGCGGUGAAAUGCGUAGAUAUCUGGAGGAACGCCGGUGGCGAAGGCGGCAUCCUGGACCAAUACUGACACUGAAAAGCGAAAGCCAGGGGAGCAAACGGG
This 253-nucleotide ribosomal RNA is filed under the name uncultured prokaryote. RNAcentral describes it as "partial 16S ribosomal RNA". It matches the Rfam family "Bacterial small subunit ribosomal RNA", at positions 524 to 776 of the family's 1533-position model. The record is from RNAcentral.